RNAcentral lists this ribosomal RNA (253 nucleotides) under uncultured bacterium. Its description in RNAcentral is "partial 16S ribosomal RNA". It matches the Rfam family "Bacterial small subunit ribosomal RNA", at positions 524 to 776 of the family's 1533-position model. The record is from RNAcentral.
UACGAAGGGGGCUAGCGUUGCUCGGAAUUACUGGGCGUAAAGCGCACGUAGGCGGAUUGUUAAGUCGGGGGUGAAAUCCUGGAGCUCAACUCCAGAACUGCCUUUGAUACUGAAGAUCUUGAGUUCGGGAGAGGUGAGUGGAACUGCGAGUGUGGAGGUGAAAUUCGUAGAUAUUCGCAAGAACACCAGUGGCGAAGGCGGCUCACUGGCCCGAUACUGACGCUGAGGCACGAAAGCGUGGGGAGCAAACAGG